ACUCAACUGACGAGUCCCGAAUGGGACGAAACGCGCGUCCUGUAU
Molecule: non-coding RNA, 45 nt
Filed under: Schistosoma mattheei
Lineage: Eukaryota; Metazoa; Platyhelminthes; Trematoda; Strigeidida; Schistosomatidae
Source: RNAcentral